AUGCGUUGUUGUGAUGACAUUCGUCUUGAGGUGAUGCGGUGUCAUGUUGUCUGUGUAUCUUGGUUUCUAGCUAUUGAGCUUAAAACAUGUGGAUUAUCGGUUMGUGACACGSCAUCGCUCCCUUGGUUGAUGAAAGUCGUCCAAUGAUGUGGUGGUUUGUUUGUUUUUGUUCUCGCAUCGCUCGGUGCAUUCUGUGGUCAUUUUAGCUGUUGGUGGCUUGCUUGGCAAUUGAGCUUGGUGGGUUGCUACUGGUUGGGUGUCUACGGGGAUGUCUACCGUAAAGGUGCAUGAGUGGUGUUUGGUUUGUUACGGGUGGUUGGCUCUUUGCUUGCGCAACAACUUCUACCCGGCAUACCUCUUCAGUCUUGUGUCAAUGCUUGUAUUGCAUUGAAUGCACGGCGGGUUUCUUGUGUUGCAUGCMUAAUUAAUGGUAUCGUUUGAUGAAUUGGUYUUCCUUYCGUCWUGCGUCGCCYAUGUGAUGUGAGAUGAACCUUGAAGCAUCCUUUUUGAUCCACUCUUUUGAUGCAUACGCAUUGAYUUUGUGGCCCAUUGASUGYUGCUCGGUCUCAUGGAUAUSGAACCUGGUGUGSGCAKGGAAUCGUAAUGGUUCCUUGUUUGCCCAAGUUUAGCUUUWCUAAAACGAUUGUCUAUCA
RNAcentral lists this unclassified non-coding RNA (653 nucleotides) under Helichrysum sutherlandii. Its description in RNAcentral is "partial external transcribed spacer". Lineage: Eukaryota; Viridiplantae; Streptophyta; Magnoliopsida; Asterales; Asteraceae. The record is from RNAcentral.